UCACAUCUCUUGAGAGUUUAGAUCUCUCUUCCAAUCAGUUAUCUGGAGAUGUAUCUGCCCUUAAGUCUUUAACAUCCCUCGUAGAGUUGAGACUUUCAAACAAUUAUUUCAAAAUCCCAAGCUCAUUGGAGCCCUUCUUCAACCUUUCAAAACUCAAGCAUUUCAAAGCGGACAACAAUACCAUAUACAUUGAAAGUGAGAUGCAACCUUUGGCCCCAAGAUUCCAAUUGAACCUUAUCAGUUUAUCUAGUUGUGGAUAUGUUGGACAAUUUCCUCAUAUUUUGUUCCAUCAACAUGACUUAAGGCAAGUUUAUCUCUCUAACAACAACUUUAGAGAGGGAUUUCCAAAUUGGUUGUUGAAUAACAACACAAAUUUGGAAAGGUUAGUUCUUGCUAACAGCUCUCUCCUAGGUCAUUUUGAGUUACCUUUCCUUCCACAUACGGACUUAUCGUAUUUGGAUGUCUCAGAAAAUUCAUUCUAUAGCAAUCUUCCAAUUGAUAUUGGGGAAAAACUACCAUCAUUGUUGUUUCUGAACAUGUCAAAAAAUCUAUUUCGGGGUAGCAUUCCCUCUUCGAUUGGUGAUAUGAAUUUCUUAGAAGCCUUGGACUUGUCCAAUAAUCAAUUGUCUGGUGGGCUACCUGAGCAUUUGACCAUGGGCUGCUUUUCAUUAACUUCCCUUGCACUGUCCAACAACAAAUUGCAAGGGCAGAUGUUCUCUUCAAAUGUUAACCUUACAAAGUUGCGGGAGUUGCAGUUAGAUGGGAAUCAUUUCUCUGGGAAGAUCCCAGAUUCCUUGUCUAAUUGCUCCUUUUUGUCAACAUUGGAUUUAAGCAAUAACGUGCUUUCUGGGGAGAUACCAAGGUGGAUGGAGAAUAUGUCAAGUUUGUCAACAUUGGAUUUAAGCAAUAACGAGCUUUCUGGGGACAUACCAAGGUGGAUGGGGAGUAUGUCAUAUUUGGAAGAAAUUGUGAUGGCAAACAAUCAUCUUGAAGGUCCAUUCCCAAAGGAGUUUUGCCAUCUUAAUGAUCUUAAACUUCUAGACCUUUCAGUGAACAAUAUUUCUGGGAGUCUUCCAUCUUGUUUCAGCCCUUUAUGGAUAAGUCAAGUUCAUUUAUCAAGAAACAAGCUAGAAGGGGCACUCACAAAUAUUUUUCAUAACAGCACUAGCUUGGUGACAUUAGAUCUCAGCAAUAAUCACUUAACUGGGAAAAUUCCACGUUGGAUUGGCAACCUUUCUCAAUUGAGUUUUCUUUUGCUAAAUAACAACCAUUUUGAAGGUGGGAUUCCAAUUCAGUUAUGCAAUUUGGGCCAGUUAAGCCUGAUUAAUCUUUCCAAUAACAAUCUUUCAGGUACAAUUCCACCUUGCCUGAAGAUUACAGCACUGAAUGAAAUAUCCCAAGAAUAUGUUCGUUAUGUCACUGAUAUUGCUCAAGCUCCCAGUUCUUUCUUCAUUGAUGAACCGAUAGAGUUCACAGUGAAAAGCAUGUCUUACUCUUAUAAGGGAAUUGUUCUCACAUGUUUAUCUGGAAUUGAUCUCUCUUGCAACAAGUUGACAGGUGAAAUUCCCAGCGAAGUGAAAAACUUGCGAAAUAUUUAUGCUUUGAAUUUGUCUCACAACAAUUUGAUAGGACCAAUCCCACCGGCGUUUUCCAAUCUGAAGCAAAUUGAGAGUCUCGAUCUUUCUCACAACAACUUGAGCGGGAAAAUCCCUCCACAACUUGUGGGGUUAUAUAGGUUGUCUUAUUUCAGUGUGGCAUACAAUAAUUUAUCUGGAAGUACACCUGCAUGGACUGCACAGUUUGCAACAUUUGACGAAAGCAGAUAUGUGGGAAAUCCUCUUUUAUGCGGUAAACCAUUGAAGGACUGCUCAACACCAGGACCAUCAGCAUCUUUAUUGCCAAAAGCAUCGACUGAAAAUGGUUUGAUUGAUAUGAUUUCCUUUUUUGUGACUUUCGUUGUGUCUUAUGUUAUGGCAAUCCUGAGUAUUGAAUGUGUGCUUUACAUUAAUCCAUACUGGAGACAAGCAUGGUUCUAUUAUGUUGGGGCAAUAAGCAAUUGCUGCUACUAUUUUUUGGAAGACCAUAUUCUGCCUAAAAGGCUCCACUGUGAAAAUAUGUAAGGCAAUGUUAAGUUCACAUUUUCUCUACUCAUAUUUGAUAUUCUUGUAAUUUAUUAUCCUUCAAUAAAAAGGCAGUAUUCUCUUUUUUGCUUUAUAAAUGCAAAUUAUCUUAUAUUCUGAAAAGAUGAAAAAUACACAAACUGGCUAGAAAUAUAUGGAUAUAAUCUUUUUGGUAAAUAAAGGUAGUCUAACAAUUAAUUAAGGCUAAGUCAAAACAUAGUUCUUACCAUACGUUAUUCCUAAUGAAUUACAGAGCUGAAUAUUAGCAAUGCUUGAAGAAGGAUGAUGGCAAAUAUGAAUAAUUCUGCAUUAGAAAUGGAACAGCUAUCCAAAUUUCUGCAUAUGGGUGGAGGAUGAUUGAAGAAAGUAGCAUUUAAUAAUAUUUGAUAUGACCUCAAAAUCUAAUGUCAUUGAGCGGGGGAUAAUAAAGGAUUAAUCCCCUACAAUUCAACCGUCAAAUUUUGUGCAUCUUUUUUUACUUUUAAACUUUCAUUUUCUAACGGGAUAUUGAAUUUUGAGUUUAACGAUUUCGGUUAUAUUUUAGCCUCAAAGCUGGAGUUAUUAAUGGAUUAAUAAAGUAAUUUCAUUUUUUUACAAUUAAAUUUCUAAUUUAUUUGAAAUUUUUUCAAGGAAUAUAUUCACCCUACUAAUUUAUUUUUAAAGAAAAUUCACUCUAUUAGUUUGAUCCAUUCUAUGAGCUACAUGUGAUAAUAAAUUAUGCAGUCGAAUUUAGGUUCACAAAUUAUUAUCUUAAAUAAUAAUAAAAUACUCACUAAAUAAAAAAUUAUAUUUUUACAAAAUUGUCCCUAAAGUUUUACUUUUUAUUCAAUUUAGUCCUUGAGACCAAAUCAUGCAAAUUAACUAUUUUUAAUGCAAAUCCAUGCUAAAAGAAUAUUUAUAUAUUUAUUUUCCUCCUCCUCCUCUCCGUUCCACAUCCUUAAUUUAUAUAACAUGCUUAAAAGUAACAUUAUCUAUGAUUUCACUAUUUACUUAUAAAUUUAUUCAAAGUUGUCCAUCCGUGUCAUAGUCAUUAAAUCAUUUUUAUCUUGAGCUACAGAACUCCAAAUUAGGAUCUUCUAAUUUUCUCUGAAACUAGACUCGAUUAUCUUCUUACCAUAAAAUUUUCAGAAUUUUUGGUUUAGCCAAUAACUACAGUUUAUUCUUUAAAGUCACCCAUGUUCUGCUGUCUGACAGUUUCGACCCUUCUUCACUAAAAAUUAAUUAUCUCCUCGUACGGGAUUCGGAUGAUAUUACCAUUUAUUUCUCUUGAACAUAGACUUAUACAUAAUUUUAAAACUAUAAAUUUAUGCCCCUAAUUAUUUUUAUUCAAUUUUUUUAUUAUUUUCCAAAGUCAAAACAGGGGAACCAGAAUUCAUUCUGACCUUGUCUCACAAAAUUUAUUAUAUCUCAUGAUUUACAAUUCCAUUGCUUACACUGUUUCUUAUAUGAGAAACUAGACUCAAUAAGAUUUAAUUUAAUGUUUUAUUCAUCCUCUAAUUCGAUUUUCACAAUUUAUGGUGAUUUUUCAAAUUAACCUACUGCUGCUGUCCAAAACUAUUUUAGUGCAAAAUAUUGAAUACUAAAUUUAUAACACUCUUAUUCCCUUUCUCUAUAAUAUUUCCCAUCACUUUCUCUUAUUUUCCUUCACUAAUAUAUGUAUAUAUGGAAAUUUUUGGCAGGGAAAUUUAUGCCCUAUGGCUACGGCUAUAAGCAGAGUCAAAGUCUCGUCGAUAAUUCCAUCUAUCAAACUAUGACACCAAUGCCAAAACAAAUUAAAAUGACAACAUCUAAAAAGUAUAGGGUUAAUUGCAUUCAACAUCCUCAACUAUGAUUAUCAUUUUAAAUUAGUCUCUAAAUUUCAAAAUGUUAUAAUUACAUACCUAAACUGUCAAUUAGGUUCUUCUAUUAUUGACACCAGUAAAUGAACCAUUAAACCGUUAAAUGACAUGUUGAAUAUUAUGUAACAUAAUUUAAAACAACAAUUUAGAAAUGGUAAAAUCAAUAAAUUUAGUGAUAAAAGGACCUUAAAAAUUUAGAAAAGUAAUAGGAAUGUUAAUUAAAUAAAAUUCUAAAAUUAAAAAAAUAAGUGUAAUAAAUAUUGUAAACUAUUCUUCAAUAACAUACCAAAAACUUUUAAUUCAACCUUAGUUUAAUUGACAACUAGGAUGGCACAUCUAAUGGCUGUGCACCAAUGUCAAGGUUUCAACACUUUCAUUCUAUCAAUUCAAAUGUCUACAUUCUCACUUUCCAAAGGAAACUUCAUGGGCAAGCUGCACAUCACUUCUAUCGAAUGGAUUUAAAAUAUUAAAUAUGAAUAUAUUUAUUUUUAAAAAAAUUAUCAUUCUAAAUUAGUCUUUAAAUUCCAAAAUGUUAUAAUUACAUACCAUUGAUUAUAAAGGUGGUUGCUAUGUGUUGAUUCCACCGAGUAUCAUUGACUAUAAGGGUGGUGCUAUGUGCUGAUCCACCGUGUAUCUGUUAUUAUUCCGAAAUAUUCAUCGGGAAAUUGUCCAAGUGAAAAUACAUGAGAUCAUGUAACAACUAAGUAUAAUUGAAUGUGACUAUGUGAUAAAUGAGUGUAGGUAUAAGUGUGAAAAUUUAUGAACAAUGUGCUCGAUAUUUGAUCAAACCAUCGGUAAGAUGAAAUGGAAUAAGUGAAAUUGUGAAAGAGUAAAUUUAGCAACAAAACAGUUUUAGAUAGCAACAGUUGUAUGAAUUUGAAAAAUCACAAAAAAUUGUGGAAAUUGAAUUAAAGGCUAAAUAAUAUAUGAAAUUAAAGCUAAAUGAGUCUAUUUUCACAUAAAAGAAAUAGAGUAUGCAAAAGAGUUAUAUAUUUUGAGAUAUUUAAAUUUUAGUGAGACAGGGUUAGGAUGAUUUUUAAAUCCCCUAUUUUGACUUCGGAAAAUCAUUAAAAAUUGUAAAAAAAUAAUUAUGAGUUAUAUUUUAUGAGUCUAUUUUCAAGAGAAACAAAUAAGAACGUCAUCCAAACUCUGUAUAAUGAGAUAAUUAAUUUUUAGUGAAGGGAGGUUAGAACUGCCAAACAGUGAAAUAGGAGAUACUUUAAAGAAUAAACUGUACUUAUUGGCUAAGUCAAAAUUGGCUAAGUCAAAAAUUCUAAAAAUUUUAUGGUAAGAAGAUAUAUGAGUCUAGUUUAUGGGAAAAUUAACGAAUUAAUUUGGAGCUCCGUAGCUUAAGAUAUAAAUAAUUUAGUGACUCUAACUUGGAUAGACAACUUUGAAUUUAAAUAUAAGUAAAAAAGUGAAAAUAUAGUUACUUUUGUUUAAGCAUGUUAUAUACAUUAAGGAUAUGGAAUCGAGAGGAGGAGGAGGAAAAUUGGAUAAAUAUAUGAAUGAAUUGUGUAUAAUUGGUCAUAUGUUCGAUUAUAAUCGACAAACGUUGAAAUAGAAAUGAUGCUUAUAUUUGUGCAUUAUUGGUCAUGGUUUAAGCUCAUGUGGGGAAAUAAAGUUUCAUAGCAUAUGUGUGUGUGGUAUGUUUGGUAUAUGAUUUGGCAUGAAGAAAUGUCAUUAAUGGUUAUGAAUUAACUCAUGUUGAUAAGUUGAUACAUAGUUACAGUAUUUCUGCAAAUUAGCCUGGCAAGUUCGUAUGAACUAUAUUCUGUACAAUUUUGAUUAAAGUGAAUGUUAUUUGGUGAUGAAUAAUAUAUGUAUAUAUGUUAGUAUUGAACUGAAUUUUGAAAAUGUGAAUUGAAUAUGAAAAUGUGAAUAGAAAGCAUGAACUAAUUGUUCAUGAGAUAAAUAAAGGCUUAAUGUAAUAGUAUAUGAUGUUACCAAACGAAAACGAAAUAAAAAUUGUAAAUAUUGAGAAAUGAAUUAUUAUUGGUAUUGAUCUGAAAUGAAUGAUAUAUGCCUAUGAAAAAACGGCAAGAGAAUGAUAUGUGUUGAAACCAUUUUUUUGAAAACAAAAAUUAGUUGUUGACUUUAAAAACAAAAAUUGGAGUCGCCACCGAUCCUUUAUUGAGGUGUGAUCGGCUCACAUUAAAAACAAUUUUGGUUUGCGAAAUUUGAGAAAACAGGUUCGGGAGUCAGUUAUGCAUGAGGAAGGGUUAGCACCCUCGUAACACCCAAAAUUGGUAACGAAUUGAUUGUUUAAUGUCUUGGUGUCAAAGGUUUGAAAAGAUCUUAAAAAAAACUCAAGCGAUGAAAUUUAAAAUGAUAUUCAAUUGUUUAAGUCAGACGAAGAAAUCGAGACCCAAUACGUUAGAGUACAAUUUCUCAAAAUCCUCAAACUUUGAAUAUUGCUUUUUCAUAGGAAAAUCUUCAUCUUAAGAAAACAAUAUGUCAUGCCCAAUACGUUAGGACACAACAUGUUGAAUUCUCGAAAAUUUUAGGUUUAACAAGGAAAAUUGGAACCCAAUACGUUAGGGCUCAAUCCUCUCGAAUAUCCCAAAUACCGAAUAUUGCAUUAUCUUAAAAGCCUUUGAACAAAAAAAAAACGGUUUUAAUGCUUUGAUGAAUCCAAAUAUAUUUUCCUUAAAAAUGUGAUAAAAUGUUAAUAUAGAACAUGAAACAAAUACUUUAAUAUAAAUUAUAUAUGUAUAUGUAUAUACAAAAUAUGUAUAUAUAAGUAUACAUAUAUAUAAAAAAUGAAUGAAAUAUAUAUAUUUAUAAUAAAUUUUUUUAAAAAAAAGUACGCAUAUAUAUAUAAUAUAGAAGAUGCAUGUAUACUUGUAUUGAUUAUAAAAUAUAGAAGAUGUAUAUGUAUUAUAAAAUGUAAAUGUAUAUAUAUAUAUACAUGCAUAUAAAAGUUAUGAAAAUAAAAUAAUAUAUAUAUAUACAAAAUAUGUACAUGUAUUUACAAAAGUUUUAAAAAAAUACACAUAUAUAUUAUAAAAAAAUAUGCAUGUAUUUAUGUAAUAAUAAUAAUAAUAAUAAUAAUACUAUUGAAAUUAACUAAUUUAAUAGAAAAAAUGACAAAAAUGACUAAUUUAAACUUAAAACAGAAAUUUGGGGCAAUUUCGCAAAUAAAUAAAACAAAAAUGGGACCAAAAUGAUUUCGGUUAUAUUUUAGCCUCAAAGCUGGUGUUAUUAAUGGAUUAAUAAAGUAAUUUCAUUUUUUACACUUAAAUUUCUAAUUUAUUUGUAAUUUUUUCAAGGGAUAUAUUCACCCUACUAAUUUAUUUUAAAAAAAAUUCACUCUAUUAGUUUAAUCCAUUCUAUGAGCUACAUGAUAAUAAAUUAUGCAGGCGAAUUUAGGUUCACAAAUUAUUAUCUUAAAUAAUAAUAAAAUACUCACUAAAUAAAAUAUUAUAUAUAAUCUUUUGCCUCUAAUCUAUUCUAACAUACCCUUAAUUAGAGUUACUUAAAAGAGGUAGAUCUCGACUCAAAGUCAAAACAGUUUAGCAGAAGUAGGGUUAUGUUACAUAAUUGCAUUAUGGGGAGUAGAUGAUCAGCACCACUUUUUUUUCUAACACAAUUAUUGGCGGAUGAUUGUGUAAGGGAUUAAAAAAUAAUUUUUGGGGUUUUGAACACUAGAUAGCCGACAUUUAUGUAUUUUUUUCCAAUUCAUGUCAUACUAGUAUACGUUUAUACCAAUAUUUAAAAAAAUUAGAGUGUUGGUACUAAUGGUCGACACCAAUUUAUUAGAUAAAUUUUUUUUUUGAGGUGUUGGAACAUUGAUGGUUGGCACUUCUGCACUAGAUUUAAAAAAAAUUGAGGUGUUGGGACACUGAUGGCCGACACCUCCUUUAUUUGGUUAAAAAGAUUUUUUUGGGGUGUUGAAACACUGAUGGUCAACAUCCAUUUAUCUGAUUAAAAAAAAUUGGUGUUGUGACCCCCUUUAUCUGGCCAUCAGAAUCCUAGCACCCAAUUUUUUUUUAAUCAGAUAAAGGGGGUGCCGACCAUCAGUGUUCUAACGUCCAAAAAAAUUUUAAUCAGGUAAAAAGGGUAUCGACCAUCAGUGUAUCAACACCCAAAAUUUUUUUUUUAAUCAGAUGUAGUGGGUGACGGUUAUCAAUGUGUCAGCACCAUAACUAUUUUUUAAAAUACUGGUAUAUAUUACCAAUAUGAUACGGAUUGGGAAAAAUACAUGGGUAUCAUCCAUCUAGUGUCUGAAACCUUAGAAAUUAUUAUUUUUAAUCUCUGACACAAUGUUUGUGUUAGAAAAAAAGUUGGUGCCAGUCAUUUACUCUCUAUAACUCAAUUUUACUGUUCAUUUCAAUUCAUUUAAGUAGUUAUUUUUUAACCAAUAUUAUUUACAUAAAUAGUUAUUUUUUAGGUUAUUUUACUAUUCAUUUUAAGUAAUUUAAGUAUAAUUAAAUGGGAAGUGAAAUAAUUAAGAGCAUGCUACUUGGUAAUAAUGAGGCAGGUUUAAGGUUGAUGAAUUUGACAGUGCUUCGUUUGUAUGGCAAUCUCUUCAACAAUACCAUAUUGUCAUCUCUCGGAACACUCUCAAAUCUAAAGACUUUGUCUUUAGGAGGCUCCAAUUUGGAAGGAACAAUAGAUAUUAAAGGUAAAAUUAUCAUCCUCUUUCUCCUUAUUCAAUGACGUCUACAUAUAUUAAUAAAGUAUUUACUUUUCAAUUUUUGAUUCUCCCCAUAAUUAGAUGGCUUGAGCAAUUUGGAGGACCUCUUUAUGGGCUGCUAUUCAAAUAUUGGUACUAAUUCCAAAUUUAAUUUAAAUGUACUAAUUACUUGUUAGUUUGAUUAAUUUGAUAUAUUCCAAAGAAAUAAAGUAAAUAUAAAUAUACUAUUUGAUAUGUCCAGGUUGCAAUCUUCGGCUACAAUCAUUGGAUUUAUUCUCAUCAUUGAAGACUCUUUCCUUGAACGGAGUUAAUUUAAUUGACUCUCAUUCCCAAAUCAGUAAGUUAUUAUUAUUUUUUUACUUAUCUUAAUUCUUAAGAUUAAUUUACAUAAAUACUGGUUUCUAAUGGCACAUAUGUUGAAUGUGAUUUUAGACAUUUAAUUUUUAGUUAGUUUUUUUAAUAUUAUAUUUUUAAUUAUUGUAAAAUUAUAUUUCUUAUAUAAAACUGCUGAAUAUCAUCCUCUUUCUCCUUAUUCAAUGACCUCUGCAUAUAUUAAUAAAGUAUUUACUUUUCAAUUUUUGAUUUUCCUCAGAAUUAGACGGCUUGAGCAAUUUAGAGGACCUCCAUAUGAGCUGCUAUUCAAUUGGUACUACUAAAAUAAAAUUGUGGCUAAUUCCAAAUUUAAUUUAAAUGUACUAAUUACUUGUUAGUUUGAUUAAUUUGAUAUAUUCUAAAGAAAUAAACAUAAAUAUACUAUUUGAUAUGUCCAGGUUGCAAUCUUCAGCUACAAUCAAUGGAUUUAUUCUCAUCAUUGAAGACUCUUUUCUUGUACAAAGUUAAUUUAAUUGACUCUCAUUCCCAAAUCAGUAAGUUACUAUUUUUUUUACGUAUCUUAAUUCAUAAGAUUAAUUUUUAGUUAGUUUUUUAAUAUUAUAUUUUUAAAUAUUGUAAAAUAAUAUUUCUUAUACAAAACUGUUGAAUAUAAUUAAAAUAUAUUAACUGAUUUAAAUAUUAAAUAUUAUAACAACAAUUUUGAAAUCAUAAUUAAAGUUUUUUUAAUUUAAUCAAUACACAAUAUAAUUUUACUCCAUGUAAUUAAUACAAAAUAACAUUAUUCAAAAUAAUAACUAAUUAACAUAUGUUUAUUAUUUUGAUGAUAGUGAUAAUAAAAAAAUUCUAAUUGAUAUUAAAAUAUUUGUAAAAGAAUAUAAAAAAUAAUAUGACGUAAAUUAAUCUAUUCACCAUUCAAUUUUUAUUUUUUAUUCCCAUCAUUUAAGACUCUUUUUUUAGGAGGACUUAAAUUUAAUAACUCUCAUUACCACAAAUAUUUAUUUUGUUGACAUUAUUUUAAAAUUUUCUACCUUCACAAAACACACGUGUACAUAUAUUUUUAAUAUUUUUUAUUCAAGGAAUAAAUUGCAUAAUUUAAAAACUUGAAAGAGUUGAAGUUGCAAUCUUACAAUUAAUCGAUUAGAAAAUGAGUCUUUCAAUUUCUCUCGUAUAAGAAUAAUUUUAUUUUAUAAUUCAUGUUUAAAAUUAAUACCUCCUAUUAAAUUAUGCAUGCUUCAUCAUUCCAUUCACCCAAAUUAUUAGUUCUCUUCUAUUUCCAUUGAAUUUAGCAUUACAAUGUUAAUUUUAGUAUAUAUGGUAUUAAAUUUUUAAUAUUUUUAAUGCUAAAAGAUGAAAAUGAUUGAUUUUAAAAUAUGAAAUAAUAGCAUUGUGUGAGGAUUUUAACUUGUGGUUAUAGAAUUGCAAAAUUUGACAAAUUUAGAAGAGUUGGAAUUAAGGCAUUCAUCUCUCCCUUUUAACUUCAUUGGAGCACUACCUUCUUUACAAAGAUUGGACAUGGAAAAGUGUAACGUCAGUGACAGCCUCUUCAUGAAUGGUAAGUAUCUUUCAAUUUAUCAUUUCUUUUUAUACAAAGAAUGAUUUUCCCCAUAAAUAUAUUAUUCAUGACAAGCCUAUUUUUGAAAUAGUAUUUAUUAAACCCAAAAAAAGAGCAAAACUGUUUAUAAUUAUUAAUAAAAAAUUUGUUGAUUCAUGCUUCUUCUUUUUUUAAUUCAUUUCCCAGCAUUAAAAAACUUAUGAUAGGAUGUGAUGACGAAAAUUCAAUAAAUUAUUUAACUUUUUAAUAAAUACUACAAAAAAAAAGAAAGAAAGAAAGUGAUUUUUUUUUUGAUAAUUUUAUAAAAUUGUUGUGCUUCCUAAAAUUUUCAAUAAAUAUAAAAAAGAAAAAUGAGGGUAAAAGAAUAAUAUUUCUCAGUUUCUUUCUCUCUCUUUUUUCAUAAUUUUAUAGUAAUAUUUUAUAAAAUUGUUUUCUUUUCUAAAAUUUUCAAUAAUUUGCGACUCACUUUGUCUCCCUAAUAAUCUUUUCCCAAAACUCCAAAUACUAAAGCUAAAAUAAUAAACUCAACUUAAAGGAUCUCUCUCUUUCUUUUUAUAUAUAUUGAAUUGCAUACACUUUCUUCUUUUUUUCCAUUUGGAACAUAUCUACAUAAAUUUCUGUAACUUUGGUUUUGUUUGAAAUAGAUCCACUUGAGUUGCAGAAUUUGGAAUUCAUGCACAUAUAUCAUACUUCCCUUGAAAACAACUUUCUUCACAAAAUUGGUGCAAUGCCUCGUAUCAAGCAACUAAGCUUAAGGGGUUGUGGACUCAAUGGCACCUUACAUACCCAAGGUGAAUAAACACGAAACAUUUUAGUACCCUACUUUCCCAUACAAUAAGAUCCCUUUUCUUAAGGCAAGGAACGAAUACAACUAGAAUAUAUUAUAUUUAAUUUGUUUUAUUGUUUUUGGUUCCCUUGAAUGGCACUCUAUUUAUUUAUUUAAUGUUAUGUUUGCAGGUUUUUGUGGCUUGACAAAUCUCAGACUCUUGGGUAUGAGAAACAAUAAUUUGAAGGGUACUUUGCCAGAGUGUUUUUACAAUUUCACAUCUCUUGAGAGUUUAGAUCUCUCUUCCAAUCAGUUAUCUGGAGAUGUAUCUGCCCUUAAGUCUUUAACAUCCCUCGUAGAAUUGAGACUUUUAAACAAUUAUUUCAAAAUCCCAAGCUCAUUGGAGCCCUUCUUCAACCUUUCAAAACUCAAGCAUUUCAAUGCGGACAAGAAUACCAUAUACAUUGAAAGUGAGAUGCAACCUUUGGCCCCAAGAUUCCAAUUGAACCUUAUCAGUUUAUCUAGUUGUGGAGAUGUUGGACAAUUUCCUCAUUUUUUGUUCCAUCAACAUGACUUAAGGCAAGUUUAUCUCUCUAACAACAACUUUAGAG
This 11859-nucleotide long non-coding RNA is filed under the name Gossypium barbadense (sea-island cotton). Its description in RNAcentral is "long non-coding RNA (GBAR_LNC023200)". Lineage: Eukaryota; Viridiplantae; Streptophyta; Magnoliopsida; Malvales; Malvaceae. The record is from RNAcentral.